Molecule: ribosomal RNA, 2908 nt
Filed under: Salmonella sp. 3C
Lineage: Bacteria; Pseudomonadati; Pseudomonadota; Gammaproteobacteria; Enterobacterales; Enterobacteriaceae
Description: 23S ribosomal RNA
Rfam family: Bacterial large subunit ribosomal RNA
Source: RNAcentral
GGUUAAGCGACUAAGCGUACACGGUGGAUGCCCUGGCAGUCAGAGGCGAUGAAGGGCGUGCUAAUCUGCGAUAAGCGCCGGUAAGGUGAUAUGAACCGUUAUAACCGGCGAUACCCGAAUGGGGAAACCCAGUGUGACUCGUCACACUAUCAUUAACUGAAUCCAUAGGUUAAUGAGGCGAACCGGGGGAACUGAAACAUCUAAGUACCCCGAGGAAAAGAAAUCAACCGAGAUUCCCCCAGUAGCGGCGAGCGAACGGGGAGGAGCCCAGAGCCUGAAUCAGCAUGUGUGUUAGUGGAAGCGUCUGGAAAGGCGCGCGAUACAGGGUGACAGCCCCGUACACAAAAGCGCAUGUGCUGUGAGCUCGAUGAGUAGGGCGGGACACGUGGUAUCCUGUCUGAAUAUGGGGGGACCAUCCUCCAAGGCUAAAUACUCCUGACUGACCGAUAGUGAACCAGUACCGUGAGGGAAAGGCGAAAAGAACCCCGGCGAGGGGAGUGAAAAAGAACCUGAAACCGUGUACGUACAAGCAGUGGGAGCACAGGUUUACCUGUGUGACUGCGUACCUUUUGUAUAAUGGGUCAGCGACUUAUAUUCUGUAGCAAGGUUAACCGAAUAGGGGAGCCGGAGGGAAACCGAGUCUUAAUUGGGCGUUAAGUUGCAGGGUAUAGACCCGAAACCCGGUGAUCUAGCCAUGGGCAGGUUGAAGGUUGGGUAACACUAACUGGAGGACCGAACCGACUAAUGUUGAAAAAUUAGCGGAUGACCUGUGGCUGGGGGUGAAAGGCCAAUCAAACCGGGAGAUAGCUGGUUCUCCCCGAAAGCUAUUUAGGUAGCGCCUCGUGAAUUCAUCUCCGGGGGUAGAGCACUGUUUCGGCUAGGGGGCCAUCCCGGCUUACCAACCCGAUGCAAACUGCGAAUACCGGAGAAUGUUAUCACGGGAGACACACGGCGGGUGCUAACGUCCGUCGUGAAGAGGGAAACAACCCAGACCGCCAGCUAAGGUCCCAAAGUCAUGGUUAAGUGGGAAACGAUGUGGGAAGGCCCAGACAGCCAGGAUGUUGGCUUAGAAGCAGCCAUCAUUUAAAGAAAGCGUAAUAGCUCACUGGUCGAGUCGGCCUGCGCGGAAGAUGUAACGGGGCUAAACCAUGCACCGAAGCUGCGGCAGCGACGCUUAUGCGUUGUUGGGUAGGGGAGCGUUCUGUAAGCCUGUGAAGGUGGCCUGUGAGGGUUGCUGGAGGUAUCAGAAGUGCGAAUGCUGACAUAAGUAACGAUAAAGCGGGUGAAAAGCCCGCUCGCCGGAAGACCAAGGGUUCCUGUCCAACGUUAAUCGGGGCAGGGUGAGUCGACCCCUAAGGCGAGGCCGAAAGGCGUAGUCGAUGGGAAACGGGUUAAUAUUCCCGUACUUGGUGUUACUGCGAAGGGGGGACGGAGAAGGCUAUGUUGGCCGGGCGACGGUUGUCCCGGUUUAAGCGUGUAGGUGUGUGUUCCAGGUAAAUCCGGUUCACUUUAACACUGAGGCGUGAUGACGAGGCACUACGGUGCUGAAGUAACAAAUGCCCUGCUUCCAGGAAAAGCCUCUAAGCAUCAGGUAACAUCAAAUCGUACCCCAAACCGACACAGGUGGUCAGGUAGAGAAUACCAAGGCGCUUGAGAGAACUCGGGUGAAGGAACUAGGCAAAAUGGUGCCGUAACUUCGGGAGAAGGCACGCUGACACGUAGGUGAAGUGAUUUACUCAUGGAGCUGAAGUCAGUCGAAGAUACCAGCUGGCUGCAACUGUUUAUUAAAAACACAGCACUGUGCAAACACGAAAGUGGACGUAUACGGUGUGACGCCUGCCCGGUGCCGGAAGGUUAAUUGAUGGGGUCAGCGCAAGCGAAGCUCCUGAUCGAAGCCCCGGUAAACGGCGGCCGUAACUAUAACGGUCCUAAGGUAGCGAAAUUCCUUGUCGGGUAAGUUCCGACCUGCACGAAUGGCGUAAUGAUGGCCAGGCUGUCUCCACCCGAGACUCAGUGAAAUUGAACUCGCUGUGAAGAUGCAGUGUACCCGCGGCAAGACGGAAAGACCCCGUGAACCUUUACUAUAGCUUGACACUGAACAUUGAGCCUUGAUGUGUAGGAUAGGUGGGAGGCUUUGAAGCGUGGACGCCAGUCUGCGUGGAGCCGACCUUGAAAUACCACCCUUUAAUGUUUGAUGUUCUAACGUGGACCCGUGAUCCGGGUUGCGGACAGUGUCUGGUGGGUAGUUUGACUGGGGCGGUCUCCUCCUAAAGAGUAACGGAGGAGCACGAAGGUUGGCUAAUCCUGGUCGGACAUCAGGAGGUUAGUGCAAUGGCAUAAGCCAGCUUGACUGCGAGCGUGACGGCGCGAGCAGGUGCGAAAGCAGGUCAUAGUGAUCCGGUGGUUCUGAAUGGAAGGGCCAUCGCUCAACGGAUAAAAGGUACUCCGGGGAUAACAGGCUGAUACCGCCCAAGAGUUCAUAUCGACGGCGGUGUUUGGCACCUCGAUGUCGGCUCAUCACAUCCUGGGGCUGAAGUAGGUCCCAAGGGUAUGGCUGUUCGCCAUUUAAAGUGGUACGCGAGCUGGGUUUAGAACGUCGUGAGACAGUUCGGUCCCUAUCUGCCGUGGGCGCUGGAGAACUGAGGGGGGCUGCUCCUAGUACGAGAGGACCGGAGUGGACGCAUCACUGGUGUUCGGGUUGUCAUGCCAAUGGCACUGCCCGGUAGCUAAAUGCGGAAGAGAUAAGUGCUGAAAGCAUCUAAGCACGAAACUUGCCCCGAGAUGAGUUCUCCCUGAGACUUAGAGUCUCCUGAAGGAACGUUGAAGACGACGACGUUGAUAGGCCGGGUGUGUAAGCGCAGCGAUGCGUUGAGCUAACCGGUACUAAUGAACCGUGAGGCUUAACCUU